GCUGAUUUGGCCGAGUGGUCUAAGGCGGUGGUUUUAAGCACCAUUAUCGAGAGAUGCGUGAGUUCGAACCUCACAGUCAGCA
This 82-nucleotide transfer RNA is filed under the name Blumeria hordei DH14. RNAcentral describes it as "tRNA-Leu (TAA) (tRNA-Leu-TAA-2 1 to 6)". It matches the Rfam family "tRNA". From Rfam's summary of the family: Transfer RNA (tRNA) molecules are approximately 80 nucleotides in length. The record is from RNAcentral. RNAcentral also lists the same sequence under 3 other names. Lineage: Eukaryota; Fungi; Ascomycota; Leotiomycetes; Helotiales; Erysiphaceae.